GCCAGUGUUUGAUAUCAGGGCUUGGAGUUGUCUGUUGCCAUGGCUACUGCUUCAGCUACUUGCCCACAGGAGGGAGCCCUCUACCUGUGAAAAGGUAGGCUGGCAGCAGCAAUUUUUGUUGUUCUACAAGAGGACGGUGGAGGAGUCAAUUACCAAUAGAGGCAUAAGAUGGUUUAUUUUCUCAUUGUGUGCAACUCUACUGGUGCAAGUAUGGCGUUUGGUUUAUUCUCUAGACAGAAAUAAGAGGCACACUAGACAGUCACACAAAUAGUAAGAAAGGCAUCUAAUGUCUCACUGAACAAAUAUAUCUUCUCAUUUUCUCUUACCAGCCCGAUCUCUUUGCACUGAAAUCUCCACAUGAAAUAACAAGCAAGAGUCCCCUUCAGCUAGACAUCAGCCAGGACUGUCCCCACGGGAGAGGAACAAAUCCAAAUGACCGCUUCUGAAAGGAGGUGAGGUUUCAAUGGGGCAAAGCGAUGGAGUUCCCCAGAUAACUGGGGCAUCCUGUGAGACUUGCUGAGAAGCAUACGAGUCCUCAAAACUAAGGACAUUUCAAAACCAUCUCUCCACAUUCACAAUGUUCUUUUGGGACAAUUAUGCCAAGCUAAAAAUAAUUUCAUUCAAGGCUCAAGAGUGUUUUGUAACCCAGGAGGCCUGGAAAUAUCCUUUUAUAGCUCCAGCGCUGUCAGUCCCACAGAGCCACCGUCCUUGCUCUGAGACCUGGAGGGUCCAGCAGAGAGAAGAGAUGCAUUGGCCUCCUCGGGCAGGAAUUUCUGCUCACUCAUCCAUCCCUGGUGACUAUGACUGGGCUGAUUGUGGGCCCGGGACCUAGAAUUUUUUUCCCUGGCUACCCACCUUCAACUACCAAUAAUUAUAAUUUACGCUAAAGAUGAUGUUUUAGGUCAAAUAGGAAGAACAGAGCACUGAGCAGUCAAAGCUGGUGGGCCAAGGAGCACGGGUCUUCUAAGAAAUAUGAAGCCUAAUAUUCUAUAUUUCUUAAGGGAAGAAAAUUAUCUGUCCAAAUUAAUUGGGAAUAAAACUGGCAUGAAAAUAGGAUAGCAACUGAAAUUACAACUUACAUGAAGUUUUUUAGCUAAUUUAUCAUUUAUCGAAUGCUUUUAUUAUAAAGAAUAUUCAUUAAAAUCAAAAGAUUAUUCUCACAUAAAUAAAAUCUAAGCUUCAUUAUUGGAAAAGAAACCAUAGCUUUUCAGAGGACAGAGAUUUCAGAUGACACAUGUCUUUAACAGUCCUAUACUGAGUGCCAAAUUUAACUAUAGAACAUUACACCAAAUGUAAGAAAAAGGGACCCUAAUGUUUAACUUUAAAUAUAAAUAUAAAUAUAAAUGAAGCAAACAAAGUAACUUUAUUUUCAUUCAUUCUUUUCCCCUUCAGGAGGGUUCUCAGCCUUCACAUGUCAUGUCUAGGGUCCAACUUCAAAAUACUUCAGUUUUGUCGACGCUGAUGCUGGAAAUCUUCUGAGUGUCUCAAAGUAAUUUAAGAGCCAGAAACUAACGAUAGAGGCUGAAUUCCUCACAGAAGAUUUUAAAGAGAAGAGACUCACAAAAAGAAAAAAAAAAAAAAAAAGAAAAAGAAAGAAAGAAAGGAAGGAAGGUAGGAAGGUCAUUUAUUUUCUAUUAUACUAUCAGGGCUAAGGGAAGAAUUUCUUCAUAAGAGCAGAAUCAUUGCAGCUUUUGCCACUACUUCCCAGAUUUAAAGCCUUUAUUGCUUCUAAAACUCAAUAAAGGAGCCACAGGUUGAUGAUUUUUUACGUCUCUUUUGAUGCUGGCAGUCAGAGAAAAGCAGAAAUUUUUUAAAUAACCAUAAUUACAGCGUGAAGUUAAAUAACAAAACUAAUUUUGUCCAAAGUAACCCAACAAAAGAAUUAUGUAGCUAAGGUCUGCAUGGAGUUAUCAACAAAAGUCCCAUUUAUAGCUAAGUUGUUUUGUGGGGGAAGGAUGAGGUAUGAGGGCUUCAUUAAAACCUCCUAACAGUAAAAAAAAAAAAAAAAAAAUCAAACCGCAGACAGUAGGUGGCUCCUAAAACACUUCAUUCCAAAUGCUAUGCAUAAGCCAUCAAAGUAGGAAAACAAAAAUACCCCCCAAAUCACAUUAUCUGAAGGGAAACAGCCACUGUGUAACUCACUUACAUUUCUGCCUAAAAGAGCAAAUAUCACACCAGUGCAGUGACAACACAUACGAACAUUUGGAGAUUAAAUGAGAAAAACUGUGUCCAGUUUUUGCUCAAGUGCUACAGUUUUAUGUGAGGAGUUUUUAAAGAAG
This is a non-coding RNA of Vicugna pacos (alpaca), 2279 nucleotides long. The record is from RefSeq and is a predicted model, not a curated record. Lineage: Eukaryota; Metazoa; Chordata; Mammalia; Artiodactyla; Camelidae.